AAAAUAGUGAAAAGCUUUAUGUGGAGUGUGCCCAUUAGUUUUACUUAUUCAUGAAAUGACAAACAUAACAGACCACGUCGGUAGUGACCAGUCUUUCACAGUAUCUGAUAGGCGCUAGAAAUGCGCGUCUGUAGAACUCCUUUUUUUUUUGAUUGCUCAGUGACAAUCCUUCAAGCUAACAGCGUUAUCAAGCACGUGAUCAUCUGCAAUGUUAAGGUGCGCAUUACUGUUCCCGUGGCGAAGGAACGCCCGUUAGUGUAACCGUUUUGUUUCAUGUAGCGCAGGACAUUCACCGCGACGGCUACCGAGACGAUUCUGGAGCCCCGUCUUCCCACCUGACCAGUUGUACUUAUAAGUAGCUACGCCUGCCAUUUCUACAAGGACACAUCAGCGCCAGUGUGAAAGCGAUCAAGACGCUCACGGCUUCGGCCUCCGCGGCUCUGUACAGCAGCAUCGCUUUUACCCAAGCCAUCGGCCAAAGCCCUACCGGAAGUCGAGCAUCCCCAAGCCGCUUUCGGUAUUCGCGAUGACAUCUGCAGACUUGGACGUGUUGUGCUCCCACCUCUCGAGCAUGUCAGCAGAUACACUGCAUCGUUUGGAUGAGGAAGGCGGUGAUAUUCCGAAAGUCGCAGGAAUGUCUGUCGCAGAAGGCGUCAACGCUAUCCGCGUCCACCUGGAAGCUAUACCCGUCGUGAAGACUCGUCUGGCGCGUAUGGCCCGGAUAUACUGCUGCCUGAUGGUGCUACGCGUGAUACAGCCGUGGGUGCUUUAUCGUAUGGACCAUAUAGUUGGGAACCGCGGUGCUCUUUUUGCCACUAUGCUGAACAAUAUGCGGCGCAGACGCGUAGAAGGGUAUUGCGCCAGGGUAGUCGGAUCAUUAAUCUACACCUGCUUGUUGAUCCCGGACGAAGAGAGAGCGACUGAGCGUAGGCCUUAUUGCUUCGGCACGUGGUCUUCGAUGCCAUGCGUGGCCGUCUACCAACCGCCAGAGGGGCGUUCAGCUUUCCUCACGCGUUCUCUCCGAACGUUGCUGCGGGGAGAUCCCGACUCGUUCAUUUGCGGUUCCUAUCCCGACGUGGAAUCAGCCGUUGAUGCAGGCUGCCGAUUUUUUGCCGAAGACCUCUAGCGACUGCUACACAUGGCUUCCGCGACCAACACAGCCUGAUUUAGCCCCACCUAACCGGAGAUCUUGUCCACAUCUAGACUAACUCGCGACGGACCACGGAGAGCAAGCAAACACGCUUUCAUUGGACAAGGACUUCCACAAAGGCUUUAACCAGACAGGGAAUUUGGAACCUCUUGAAGUACGGCGCCUGCCACAGUUGGAACAUGUGCACAUGCAGCGAGAGCAACUGGUCUCGGACCCUUCAUCCUCAUUUUCUGGAAAGCAGCAAAACAGAUGUUCUAAGUCACUCGCGUUGACCGUCCGUAAGAUGCUUUAACAGUCUUGAAUUUCCUGCAAUGGCCGCAAACACGUACUUGAGCGCUUUAUUCAUACAUUUAUACAUGACGUGGCCACAAUUGCGUAGCCGAAAUUUUACAACCUGCGUGCUAUCAUCGGUGUAUUUAAGCAACGAGAAGAGAACAAAUUUAAUUUCUAAUGAAAAAUCUGUUCCCUUCUUUAGCAUGUUAACCUGCUUCAUGAGUGGUGCAAAUAAAUAACAUUUUAUGCAUUGUG
Molecule: long non-coding RNA, 1678 nt
Organism: Dermacentor albipictus
Lineage: Eukaryota; Metazoa; Arthropoda; Arachnida; Ixodida; Ixodidae
Source: RefSeq, a predicted model, not a curated record